UGAGGUAGUAUGUAAUAUUGUAGA
This 24-nucleotide microRNA is filed under the name Caenorhabditis elegans. RNAcentral describes it as "cel-miR-84-5p". Its record names the gene cel-miR-84-5p. Lineage: Eukaryota; Metazoa; Nematoda; Chromadorea; Rhabditida; Rhabditidae. The record is from miRBase by way of RNAcentral.